GAGGGUAUAGCUCAGGGUUAGAGCUCAUGCCUCACAGGCAUGAGGUCCUGGGUUCGAUCCCCAGUACCUCCA
RNAcentral lists this transfer RNA (72 nucleotides) under Camelus bactrianus (Bactrian camel). It matches the Rfam family "tRNA". From Rfam's summary of the family: Transfer RNA (tRNA) molecules are approximately 80 nucleotides in length. RNAcentral also lists the same sequence under 1 other name. Lineage: Eukaryota; Metazoa; Chordata; Mammalia; Artiodactyla; Camelidae. The record is from Rfam by way of RNAcentral.